ACGAACGCUGGCGGCGUGCUUCACACAUGCAAGUCGAACGGAAAGGCCCUGCUUUUGUGGGGUGCUCGAGUGGCGAAUGGGUGAGUAACACGUGAGUAACCUGCCCUUGACUUUGGGAUAACUUCAGGAAACUGGGGCUAAUACCGGAUAGGAGCUCCUGCUGCAUGGUGGGGGUUGGAAAGUUUCGGCGGUUGGGGAUGGACUCGCGGCUUAUCAGCUUGUUGGUGGGGUAGUGGCUUACCAAGGCUUUGACGGGUAGCCGGCCUGAGAGGGUGACCGGCCACAUUGGGACUGAGAUACGGCCCAGACUCCUACGGGAGGCAGCAGUGGGGAAUAUUGCACAAUGGGCGGAAGCCUGAUGCAGCAACGCCGCGUGCGGGAUGACGGCCUUCGGGUUGUAAACCGCUUUCGCCUGUGACGAAGCGUGAGUGACGGUAAUGGGUAAAGAAGCACCGGCUAACUACGUG
Molecule: ribosomal RNA, 467 nt
Filed under: uncultured bacterium
Lineage: Bacteria
Description: partial 16S ribosomal RNA
Rfam family: Bacterial small subunit ribosomal RNA
Source: RNAcentral